This 346-nucleotide unclassified non-coding RNA is filed under the name soil metagenome. RNAcentral describes it as "partial contains 5.8S ribosomal RNA, internal transcribed spacer 2, and large subunit ribosomal RNA". The stretch from base 1 to 120 matches the Rfam family "5.8S ribosomal RNA", at positions 35 to 154 of the family's 154-position model. The record is from RNAcentral.
GAUGAAGAACGUAGCGAAAUGCGAUGAGUAGUGUGAAUUGCAGAAUUCAGUGAAUCAUCGAAUCUUUGAACGCACAUUGCGCCCGCCAGUAUUCUGGCGGGCAUGCCUGUUCGAGCGUCAUUUCAACCCUCAAGCCCUCGGGUUUGGUGUUGGGGAUCGGCGAGCCUUUCUGGCAAGCCGGCCCCGAAAUCUAGUGGCGGUCUCGCUGCAGCCUCCAUUGCGUAGUAGUAAAACCCUCGCAACUGGAACGCGGCGCGGCCAAGCCGUUAAACCCCCAACUUCUGAAUGUUGACCUCGGAUCAGGUAGGAAUACCCGCUGAACUUAAGCAUAUCAAUAAGCGGAGGA